This 763-nucleotide ribosomal RNA is filed under the name uncultured Streptococcus sp. RNAcentral's name for it is "bacterial SSU rRNA". It matches the Rfam family "Bacterial small subunit ribosomal RNA", at positions 28 to 776 of the family's 1533-position model. The record is from RNAcentral. Lineage: Bacteria; Bacillati; Bacillota; Bacilli; Lactobacillales; Streptococcaceae.
GACGAACGCUGGCGGCGUGCCUAAUACAUGCAAGUAGAACGCUGAAGGAGGAGCUUGCUUCUCUGGAUGAGUUGCGAACGGGUGAGUAACGCGUAGGUAACCUGCCUGGUAGCGGGGGAUAACUAUUGGAAACGAUAGCUAAUACCGCAUAAGAGUAGAUGUUGCAUGACAUUUGCUUAAAAGGUGCAAUUGCAUCACUACCAGAUGGACCUGCGUUGUAUUAGCUAGUUGGUGGGGUAACGGCUCACCAAGGCGACGAUACAUAGCCGACCUGAGAGGGUGAUCGGCCACACUGGGACUGAGACACGGCCCAGACUCCUACGGGAGGCAGCAGUAGGGAAUCUUCGGCAAUGGACGGAAGUCUGACCGAGCAACGCCGCGUGAGUGAAGAAGGUUUUCGGAUCGUAAAGCUCUGUUGUAAGAGAAGAACGAGUGUGAGAGUGGAAAGUUCACACUGUGACGGUAUCUUACCAGAAAGGGACGGCUAACUACGUGCCAGCAGCCGCGGUAAUACGUAGGUGGCAAGCGUUAUCCGGAUUUAUUGGGCGUAAAGAGAGUGCAGGCGGUUUUCUAAGUCUGAUGUGAAAGCCUUCGGCUUAACCGGAGAAGUGCAUCGGAACUGGAUAACUUGAGUGCAGAAGAGGGUAGUGGAACUCCAUGUGUAGCGGUGGAAUGCGUAGAUAUAUGGAAGAACACCAGUGGCGAAGGCGGCUACCUGGUCUGCAACUGACGCUGAGACUCGAAAGCAUGGGUAGCGAACAGG